This 419-nucleotide ribosomal RNA is filed under the name bacterium. Its description in RNAcentral is "partial 16S ribosomal RNA". It matches the Rfam family "Bacterial small subunit ribosomal RNA", at positions 355 to 776 of the family's 1533-position model. The record is from RNAcentral.
UGGGGGAUAUUGCACAAUGGGCGCAAGCCUGAUGCAGCGACGCCGCGUGGGGGAUGAAGGCCUUCGGGUUGUAAACUUCUUUUGCUCUGAACAAGGCGCACUUUGGGGUGUGCUGUGUGUAGGGGUUGAUUAGCGCCGGCUAACUACGUGCCAGCAGCCGCGGUAAUACGUAGGGCGCGAGCGUUGUCCGGAAUUAUUGGGCGUAAAGGGCUUGUAGGUGGCUGGUUGCGUCUGUCGUGAAAGCUCAUGGCUUAACUGUGGGUUUGCGGUGGAUACGGGCUGGCUUGAGUGCAGUAGGGGAGGCUGGAAUUCCUGGUGUAGCGGUGGAAUGCGCAGAUAUCAGGAGGAAUACCGGUGGCGAAGGCGGGUCUCUGGGCUGUUACUGACACUGAGGAGCGAAAGCAUGGGGAGCGAACAGG